Molecule: long non-coding RNA, 1635 nt
Filed under: Sinocyclocheilus anshuiensis
Lineage: Eukaryota; Metazoa; Chordata; Actinopteri; Cypriniformes; Cyprinidae
Description: lncRNA (ENSSANG00000024691.1)
Rfam family: UnaL2 LINE 3' element (bases 848-901)
Source: RNAcentral
UUUUUAACCAUUAAUGUAAUAAUUUUGUGUAUAUGUGUGUGUCUAAUGACCUUGUAUCUCUGUGUAGCCUCUUUGUUGGCUCUAGUGGUGGUGGCGUGUGUGUUAGGGGGAAUUCUGCUCAUUGUGAUUUUGGCUGUACUCAUCUACAUCUGUGUGACUCGAAGCAAGAAGAAGUCAAGCAGCAAUUAUUACAACAGCCCGUACCCUGCUGAGGAGUUCCAGACCACGUGGCCCUCUCAGGACAUCGCCCAUAUUCCACGAGCUACUGUGACAUCUAGUUCCAGCAUUGAUGCCACUGGCAACAGUCUAGAGAUGUCUGAAGGGCCGGGCAAGAAAGGCCACAGUAAUGGAUUGUCGGGCUCGUAUGACCUCAGAACAGAUGGCAUGAGGACCUUUAAGGACAUAAACCCCACACGCUACUCUUAUCUGGUGGGUCAUGAAAACCCCUACUUCAUACAAGGAGAUGAGAAGAAAUGAGGAAAACAGCAGAGAAAGCCAGUGGACAAGAAAAGAGUGCAAUAGCGACAUGGAUUAUAAAAAGGCCUUGGAUCAAAAUGUUUCAGGAACAUUAACACUGUCAAAACCAUACAGCUGAUCACAGACUCAAAGUAUAUACUCAAACAGCAUUUGAGAGAUACGUUUAUAUAUAUAUAUAUAUAUAAACUUUUUACAGUUUUUAUUCCAAAUCCCUUUCACCCAGGAUAAAAUGCUCUUUUCUUAAAAGUACAUUGAUGAUUGGGUUUUUUCUAAAAAGGUUCCUGUGGCUCAGUGGUAGAGCAUUGCGUUAGCAGCGUGAAGGUUGUGGGUUCAAUUCCCAAGGAACACACAUACUGAUAAAAAAUGUAUAGCCUAAAUGCACUGUAAGUCGCUUUGGAUAAAAGCAUCUGCUAAAUGCAUACAUUUUACAUUUAAUUUCUACCACAAGCUUGAUAAACGUGUCCUGUGUAUGACAAUGUGAGAUGAAUGCUUAACCACUCAUCUGUUGAUAUCUUUGUUUUUUGUCACUUAUGUUUUGUCUGCAGAUUUCAUAUUCAGAGUUUUGUUAUCUGACAGAGAUCAUGCAUAUGUUACUGUGGUUUUCAACUCAAAAUACGUUAUUAUAAAGGAUGUAAUAUUAAACCAUAUUUUGGCAUAUUUUAUUUAAAUUUCUCAUCUGUGGAAGCGAUAAGGGCAGAAUAUCCAGUAGUUCUGAUGCAUCUAAUCUAUAUUCUGACAGUAACUGCACUUUGUAGGAGAGAGCAUGUCUUGUGUCUAUGUGUGUGUGUGUGUGUGUGUGUGUGUGUGUGUUUUAAGUUUUAUCUAUCACAAAGACAGAACUGGUACAUUCAGUUAUGAAUUUUUGGUUGAUAUCUCCUCCAAAGAAUUAAUUUAUUUUAUGCCAGGACAAUGCAUGCCACCAGAAAUUGAUCUCUGUGCCUGACUGUGAUGUUGUCUUUUGAAUAGGAGAAUUAUGCAAUGACGAGGAGUUAACAACCAUGUCUCCUCUGUAGUCGUGCCAAUAAUUAUAUUUAUUUAAAUCAGAACAUGACAUUGUUUACUCAGCUGUCUGUUUGCUUCAUAUAUAUACUUAUUUAUGUGUAACUGGAAUAUUUUCUAUCUGUACAUAAAGCUUUUGUAAAAAAAAAAAAAAAAAAC